GACGAACGCUGGCGGCGUGCUUAACACAUGCAAGUCGAACGGAAAGGCCCUGCUUGCAGGGUACUCGAGUGGCGAACGGGUGAGUAACACGUGGGUGAUCUGCCCUGCACUUCAGGAUAAGCCUUGGAAACUGGGUCUAAUACCGGAUAGGAGCCAUUUUUAGUGUGAUGGUUGGAAAGUUUUUUUGGUGUAGGAUGAGCUCGCGGCCUAUCAGCUUGUUGGUGGGGUAAUGGCCUACCAAGGCGGCGACGGGUAGCCGGCCUGAGAGGGUGGACGGCCACAUUGGGACUGAGAUACGGCCCAGACUCCUACGGGAGGCAGAAGUGGGGAAUAUUGCACAAUGGGCGCAAGCCUGAUGCAGCGACGCCGCGUGGGGGAUGACGGCCUUCGGGUUGUAAACUCCUUUCGCUAGGGACGAAGCUUUUUGUGACGGUACCUAGAUAAGAAGCACCGGCUAACUACGUG
RNAcentral lists this ribosomal RNA (465 nucleotides) under uncultured bacterium. Its description in RNAcentral is "partial 16S ribosomal RNA". It matches the Rfam family "Bacterial small subunit ribosomal RNA", at positions 28 to 507 of the family's 1533-position model. The record is from RNAcentral.